This 281-nucleotide long non-coding RNA is filed under the name Elaeis guineensis (African oil palm). RNAcentral's name for it is "long non-coding RNA (EGUI_LNC025077)". Lineage: Eukaryota; Viridiplantae; Streptophyta; Magnoliopsida; Arecales; Arecaceae. The record is from RNAcentral.
CAGCCGUCCCACUCGCGCCUCAGUCGGUGAACGGAGUAGGUCUUGCGCCGAACAUGCUCACGGGCCGACUGAAGUUCGACCUCCGAGGCGGCUAGGCCGUCGGUGAGUCGGGAGAUCUCCUCCUCGAACCUAGCCUCACGAUCGAUCGAUGACUUCAGCUGGUCGACCAGCGUCGCCUUCUCAGCCUCGGUGAUCUCGACCUUCUUCUUCCAGGCCGCCCAGACAUCGCCGAACCUCCGGUACCCGGCCUCCAGCUCGGAUAUAUUGUAGAUCAGCUGCAA